This 228-nucleotide long non-coding RNA is filed under the name Elaeis guineensis (African oil palm). RNAcentral's name for it is "long non-coding RNA (EGUI_LNC065873)". The record is from RNAcentral. Lineage: Eukaryota; Viridiplantae; Streptophyta; Magnoliopsida; Arecales; Arecaceae.
GUUCAUAGAAUAUCCUAAAGAGUCAUUAGGAUACUAUUUCUAUAUUCCAGAAGAUCACAAUAUGAUUGUGAAUCGACAUGCUAUUUUUUUUGAAAAAUAAUUUAUUUAAGAUAGUGGAAUCAAAAAGAAUAAUUAAGCUCAAAGAGAAUAUCUUCCAAGAGCAACGAGCUAAGGAACCUGAGGAACCCAAUCAAUUAGAACCAGUCCUAACACAACCUCUUCUACCCC